CGUAGGGUGCAAGCGUUAAUCGGAAUUACUGGGCGUAAAGCGUGCGCAGGCGGCUUUGUAAGACAGGCGUGAAAUCCCCGGGCUCAACCUGGGAAUUGCGCUUGUGACUGCAAAGCUGGAGUGCGGCAGAGGGGGAUGGAAUUCCGCGUGUAGCAGUGAAAUGCGUAGAUAUGCGGAGGAACACCGAUGGCGAAGGCAAUCCCCUGGGCCUGCACUGACGCUCAUGCACGAAAGCGUGGGGAGCAAACAGGAUUAGAUACCCUGGUAGUCCACGCCCUAAACGAUGUCAACUGGUUGUUGGGUCUCUUCUGACUCAGUAACGAAGCUAACGCGUGAAGUUGACCGCCUGGGGAGUACGGCCGCAAGGUUG
This 370-nucleotide ribosomal RNA is filed under the name uncultured organism. RNAcentral's name for it is "bacterial SSU rRNA". It matches the Rfam family "Bacterial small subunit ribosomal RNA", at positions 526 to 896 of the family's 1533-position model. The record is from RNAcentral.